AGCUCCAAUAGUGUAUAUUAAAGUUGCUGCGGUUAAAAAGCUCGUAGUUGGAUUUCGGAGGUGGGAGAUAAGGAGAAUUCAUCGAAUUCUUUAUAUUUCUACUUCCUAUUUUAGGAUAGAUCUUAACGAUCUUCCUAUCAUUUACUUUGAAAAAAUUAGAGUGUUCAAAGCAAGAUUUUUAUAUCUUUUGAAUAUUACAGCAUGGGAUAAUAGAAUAUGACAUUUAGUUUAUAUUUUAUUGGUUUCUAAAAGCUAAUGUGUAAUGAUUAAUAGGGAUAGUUGGGGUCGCUCGUAUUGAGUUGUCAGAGGUGAAAUUCUAGGAUUUACUCAAGACGAACUAAUGCGAAAGCAUUCGACAAGGAUGUUUUCA
This 370-nucleotide ribosomal RNA is filed under the name uncultured eukaryote. Its description in RNAcentral is "SSU rRNA". It matches the Rfam family "Eukaryotic small subunit ribosomal RNA", at positions 587 to 972 of the family's 1831-position model. The record is from RNAcentral.